UGUGACACAGAUAGCUGAUAGCACAGCCUCCUUCAUUGUGAACACUUGGAUUUUUUUUUUCCCCAAAGGUCAGCAGUACCAACGUGGAUUUGCAUGUAGGUGUCUGCAUCAAAUGAAAUAUGUAUACAAUUCUCAAGCAUAUAUUAUGCCUGGAGUGAAUGCAGUGAUUGCUGUGAAUUAUUUUGCAAAUGAUUAAAAAUUUAGCCCAAAACUUCACAGCCUGAAAGUAGGAUCAGCCCCUGGGACAUUAAAAAAAAAAAAAAAA
Molecule: long non-coding RNA, 265 nt
Organism: Thalassophryne amazonica
Lineage: Eukaryota; Metazoa; Chordata; Actinopteri; Batrachoidiformes; Batrachoididae
Exons: 2
Source: RefSeq, a predicted model, not a curated record